This 2797-nucleotide small RNA is filed under the name Rattus norvegicus (Norway rat). RNAcentral describes it as "uncharacterized LOC108351802". The record is from RNAcentral. Lineage: Eukaryota; Metazoa; Chordata; Mammalia; Rodentia; Muridae.
UCUGUUGCUUCAAGGAAAACUAAAACCAGUUAGAGAAAGGGUUGUGUAGGACUCAGCAGAGGGUGCUGGAGGCUGCACUGAGAUAUAAAUCCUUCCUGGAAUUCUUUUGGAAAUGAGCAUUCCCCACCUCCCAAGCCCCCCAGGUCUAGAACUCAAGAAAAGUCAGGUAAAGAGAGUAGAAGCAUUACAAACUUUCUGAGUGAAGUACUGCUUGCCGGCGAGCACAGAGAUGUUGCUGGUUUGAAAGAACUCAUCACCUCUGCGUCAGCAAAGCCCAGAUAGAGACAUAGGCAGUGUGGGGUUGAAGGUGAAGGUCGGUGUUCCUGGAGACAGCAGUUACUAUGGUCAAAACUCAAACUUGGCGAUGCCUCAGCUGCUGGUGAGUGUCGGGGUGUGAAGAGAAUAAAUAUUAGAGAAGUUUACAGACAAAAUUCACUCCAUGCAACUCUCACGACUGAUGUUCUGACACAAAACAUUGAGGAGGACCAAAUCCUUAAAGGGGCUGCAGCAGUGCCGGACGGAGUCUGUAGCACUGUUAGUUUUUGCGAAGAGAUUUGAACACUGCACCGUUCUGAUGCCAUCAGAAAGUGUGUACGAGUCAACUGGUUCCAGGAAUCAAAUGCUGCUAUGAGGCCUCGUUCUUUUCAUCCCCGUCAGGUGCCACGGUGAGCUGAGACUCUAGAAGACAGCAUGGGACCAGCAGACCGCCCAUAUCUGGUCUCCACACCCGGGGCCCACAGCCUCCCUUCUUCCUCCCACCAUGACUCUCCUCAGGCCCCAAGCCCAUCUCACACACCUUCCUGAUUUCUAGUUGAUUGUUUUCACUAAGGAGACAAGCCUGAGCUAAGUUCAGGGUGUCAGCCCUGAGGCCCCUCUGCUGCUGCGCCCUGGCUGAGCUUGGCAUUCACCGGGUGGGUCUCACUAUGACCACAGCACAAACGCUGAACACAGAGAAGAAGUCACCCCGCUUGGCCCUUCCUGGCAACUAAGCGCAGGCCUGCAUGGCCUCGACUGCCAACCUCCAGCCGUGGGAACUUCUUAGUGCUUCUUUCUGGCCACUUGGAUGUCAUGGUUGGAAGGACCUGUGAGAGAUCAGACGUGAUGUUUCCUGCCUUUCUGAAGACAAGGGCCUCAGUGUCCUAGUCAGAGAUGACGGUCAGAGAAGCCAUCGUGAUGCUCAUCCUCCUUCAGGGCCAAAGGCUAACGUGUCAAGAGAACCUUGACGUUUGCUCUGCCAAUUCACAUCGCCUCUUCUUUGUUGGCUUUGACCGUGAAGAGCAUAAAAGGCAGUCUGGCUUAAGGGAUCCAUAAACAGUUUGCCCAAAGGUCAUUACAGACUAGUCCUGUCUUUGUUCUCACCUAUUCUUUGUCUGGUGUUUGCUUGGCGUGGUGGACCGUGAUGGGCCAUGAUUGUACUCCAGCUCACCGUCUGGAUGGUUCCUUUUGUGGUUGGGGCUAUUCAAAGUCAGGCGCAUGAGUCUGGCUGCCUCCCACUGGACAGAGUUCUGACUGCAGCUUUCCGGGACCCAGAUGACUCAAGAAUAUAUGGGGACAGGUUGCUUGUGGACAAGAGUAAGGUGUUGCUUCUCACAGAGAAGUCACCUCAUUUUCCUGUAAGCUGGGGCAGCUGGUACUUUGUCUUCACUAAGACCGUAUGCCUUCUGUCAUGUUAAGUCUGGUCCUUCCCUGUCUCCCAUCCCCUACUGCUUUGAUGAGGAACAGGUAUGAACAAUCCCAAGAUGUCUUCUCUAGGCCAGCUCUCCAGACUCUCUGAGUUGGGUCCAUCCAGUCAGGGGAAGGACACAGUGCUGUCCUGUACCUGUGGCUGUGGCUGUCUCUGUGACCAGGGUCACACGGUGUCCUGUCAUCAGCAGAACUGGAAUUGGUCCAGUGACAUAAAAAGUGGCCUUUCUUUCUUUUUGCCCUUCAUGUACGAGCCAAUGAAAGAAAGAGAGCCUGUGGAGUUGGGAAAGCCCCGUUGAUGGCUGGGGCUCUGGGAGAGCCAGAGAAAUAAGAAAAUGCAAGCUCAGCCUGGUGUCACUGGCCUGUCACCCCCAGCUACCUGGGAGCUGAGGCGGGAGGAGCCUGGAGGGGCUACACAUCUCACAGCUGACCUGGGUAACAGCAAGACCCUGUCUCAGAAUGAAAAAGUAAACACACUGAUAAAGGGGCCGGGAGAAUAAAACAGAUACAUCUCAGAGCUUCUGGACCUGCUGAGCAGGCACGGGGCCCAGGGGGAGAAAAGGGGAUGGAGGGAAAAAGGAAGAAAGGAAAAAUGAAAGUAAUUACCAAUAGACAAGAGUACUAAAUAGUGGCCACCUUCAACCUUUAACUAUUCCAAAAGCAACGUUUGUUUAGUGGCACUCCCAGGGCCUUCCGUUGCUCUGAAUCAGGUGGGGGAGGGAAGGCUGGCUUCGUUUUAUACCACGGGACGGGGUUUGUGCUUUUGGGGAGCAAAACAUGACUUUACCCCUGAAGUGGAUUAAGUCACAGGCAGAGCUGCGAAGGCAAGAGACUGGAAGAAUUAAGGAGCAAGAAGAACGCUGCCGCUUCCAGCCGGCUGUAGCGAAGCUGAAGUCUCAGUGCCAGGCGAAAGCAGGAAGCUGGUGCCACCCAUGAAUAGGAGAGGGAAACACCUGUGUGGCCAGCACCCAGGCUGAGAGAAGCCCCUCUCGGAUGAUUCUGCCACCGCUGACCUUCGGGGACACAGUUCAUUCUGUUCAUCUUUGCGCCUAGAGAUGGAAUUUCACAGUGGAGCCUCUUUGGAAUCUGUUUCCUUCCCUUUCUCAUUAAAAAA